AACCGCGCGCAGUUGUCAAAGAAACAACAUUCGAGUUGUUUACGUUCACUUGUUUUUGUGAGUUCGCGCCAGAAACUUGUGAUUGUUGUGUUUUGUUUUUGUCAUGGGGACCGAAGUGAUUUCAAAUCCUGGCUAUUCUGGCGGUCUAGAAGAAUUGUACACGGAUUUUGACGCCUGGAUAACUAAAAGGAGUUGGAAGUACAGACAAAGACCUAGCAGAAGCCCUCAAUGCUUUUCUUCAGAAAAACCACCGAGCGCAGCCACCAUAGACUUCCAAGAGUGUCUAGUCAAUGGGUUUGACAGAAGAGUCCUAAACACAUUCCCUAAAGACCUUAUAGGGUUAUUAAAUGUGUGUAGAAACGUAGAUUUGGUCCAUUUUGACUUGGCCAUGGUAAGACUGGUGAGAGAAAAUGGUAGAAGAAGGAUUUUGUUCGUGAAUAGAUCUAAGUUGUAAUAUGCCAUGAUAUUUAGACGUAAUUACUUAUAAUAUGGUAGGGUACAAUACCUACAAGGUGUACCCGGCGACAUCAUAAAGGUAGCGGGAAAGCGCUGGAUGCAGGCCCCAAUCGAUGUGGAAAUCAUUGGGCGAGGCCUAUGUUCAGCAGUGGACGUCCUGUGGCUAAAAUGAUGAUGAUGAUGUACUUAUUAAUAAGUAGAAACACUAAAUAAAAAUAGCGUGUAUUACGUAAUUUUUCCUGAAAAACAACGGAUUUUUUUCAAGAAAAAUAAUAUUUCUGUAUUGUUUUUGUUUGUACCAUUGUUCAUAUCUAGGUAUACUUUAUUAUUCAGUUGUGAUAUUGUAUAUUGUUAUUUUUCAAUUAUGUAAUAUAGGUAGGUACAUGUCAUACAACUUGUGUGCUACAAAGGAACGGAUAUAAAAUAUGAUAAUUUCUGUAUAAAUAAAUAAAUUAUCUACUAGAAGCGUUUGUACUAUGUACUGUGGUGGUGACUUUGUUAAAUUGCAAAUAGAUUUAUGUAAUUUGUAAGUAGUCAUAAUAAUAAGAUUUACAAAAAGUAAACUCAUUUUUUGUCAUUAA
This is a long non-coding RNA of Ostrinia nubilalis (European corn borer), 1037 nucleotides long. RefSeq lists it as uncharacterized. The transcript has 3 exons. The record is from RefSeq and is a predicted model, not a curated record. NCBI's taxonomy places the organism in Eukaryota, Metazoa, Arthropoda, Insecta, Lepidoptera, Crambidae.